Molecule: ribosomal RNA, 237 nt
Filed under: uncultured bacterium
Lineage: Bacteria
Description: partial 16S ribosomal RNA
Rfam family: Bacterial small subunit ribosomal RNA
Source: RNAcentral
CGCGUGGGGUAAUCUCCCCCCGAAUUGGGGAUAACAUUGCGAAAGCGAUGCUAAUACCGGAUAAUAUCUAAAGUACCCCGGUACUUAAGAUCAAAGGUGGCCUCUACAUGUAAGCUAUUGUUUGGGGAUGAGCCCGCGUACCAUUAGCUUGUUGGUAGGGUAACGGCCUACCAAGGCUGCGAUGGUCAGCUGGUCUGAGAGGAUGAUCGGCCACACUGGAACUGACACACGGUCCAG